This 399-nucleotide ribosomal RNA is filed under the name uncultured bacterium. RNAcentral describes it as "bacterial SSU rRNA". It matches the Rfam family "Bacterial small subunit ribosomal RNA", at positions 362 to 776 of the family's 1533-position model. The record is from RNAcentral.
UAUUGCACAAUGGGCGAAAGCCUGAUGCAGCAACGCCGCGUGAGUGAUGAAGGCCUUCGGGUUGUAAACUUCUUUUGACAGGGAAGAGCAGAAGACGGUACCUGUCGAAUAAGCCACGGCUAACUACGUGCCAGCAGCCGCGGUAAUACGUAGGUGGCAAGCGUUGUCCGGAUUUACUGGGUGUAAAGGGCGUGUAGCCGGGCUGACAAGUCAGAUGUGAAAUCCUGGGGCUCAACCCCCGAACUGCAUUUGAAACUGUUGGUCUUGAGUAUCGGAGAGGCAGGCGGAAUUCCUAGUGUAGCGGUGAAAUGCGUAGAUAUUAGGAGGAACACCAGUGGCGAAGGCGGCCUGCUGGACGACAACUGACGGUGAGGCGCGAAAGCGUGGGGAGCAAACAGG